RNAcentral lists this ribosomal RNA (433 nucleotides) under uncultured bacterium. RNAcentral's name for it is "partial 16S ribosomal RNA". It matches the Rfam family "Bacterial small subunit ribosomal RNA", at positions 29 to 507 of the family's 1533-position model. The record is from RNAcentral.
AACGAACGCUGGCGGCAUGCCUAACACAUGCAAGUCGAACGAACUCUUCGGAGCUAGUGGCGGACGGGUGAGUAACACGUGGGAACGUGCCCUUAGGUUCGGAAUAACUCACCGAAACUUGUGCUAAUACCGAAUGUUCUCUUCGGGGCAAAGAUUUAUCGCCUUUGGAUCGGCCCGCGUUUGAUUAGCUAGUUGGUAGGGUAAAGGCUCACCAAGGCGACGAUCAGUAGCUGGUCUGAGAGGAUGAUCAGCCACAUUGGGACUGAGACACGGCCCAGACUCCUACGGGAGGCAGCAGUGGGGAAUAUUGCACAAUGGGCGAAAGCCUGACGCAGCCAUGCCGCGUGAAUGAUGAAGGUCUUAGGAUUGUAAAGUUCUUUUACCCGGGAUGAUAAUGACAGUACCGGGAGAAGAAGCCCCGGCUAACUUCGUG